RNAcentral lists this long non-coding RNA (1777 nucleotides) under Gallus gallus (chicken). Lineage: Eukaryota; Metazoa; Chordata; Aves; Galliformes; Phasianidae. The record is from RNAcentral.
CAAAUAUUGGACCUUUAUGUUGACCUAAGGUGCUUGCAAGGUUACCAUCUUCUGUCCAUAUUCUUGCAAAACCAUCAUAUGAGCCUGUAGCCAAUAGUGUUCCAUCACUAUUCCAGUCCAGUGAAGUCACAUCCUUAUUGCUGGGGACAUCAUGUCCUCCUUCUCUUAUACAGUGCCUCAAAACUAGUUGAGUGGAACCACUGUUGCUGUUCUCAUUGAGAUUCCAUAUUCUGGCUGUUGAGUCUCCAGACCCAGAUGCUAGCAGGUCACUGACAGGGUUCCAGGCACAGAUGAACACCUCUGAUUCAUGGCCCCGAAGGACUGUUGCUUUGUUAGGAGGAAUUUCAACAUCCCCGUCAAUUUCCAUUGGCUUUGAAUGAUUAUUUAUUGCAUGUGCCCCAUUCUCCUCUCCAUUCACAGUGGCUUCUCCGUUCUUUGGUGUGUUCUGCUGGGAAACAGCAGUCGUCGUUGUUCCCGCUGUUGCUGCCGUUGCUGCUGCUGCUGCUGCUGCACUGGCUUGUUGCUGAGCUAGCUUCUCUCUGAAUGCUUGCUGCCGGGUCUGUACAACAUCAGGCAUCACUGCGUCUAUCAGAGACAGUGACUCUAUUGGCCUGCCAUCAAAUACUGUACCAUCUUCGUUGAUGCUGAUCUCAGCCUCCACAUACUGGAGCCCUUUCUGGAGGAUGGAGAUGAGUGCAGCAGGUGGCACUAGUGUUCCGUUGAUGUUGGACUGACUGAUGUGGCUCUCGAUACCGAACGUGAAGGCCGAGUGGGAGAAACCUGAUUCCUGGAGAUAGCGAUACACCAAGAAAUUCACUUCGUCACUGGUUAUGCUCAUCUUAGCCCAACCUCAAUAUGAUGAGGUUUAUGAGAAGUGUGAUCCACGCUCUGGCCGUGAGACCCCUGAGCUGCUGAAUGCUGCUCCUCACAGGCUGCUGUCGGGAGUCUGGGGGUUGGAGUUAGCAUGGAGAUCACCACAUCUGACAGCGGAGAGGGCUGCGCGCGGGCGCUGCGGGCGCGGCUCCGCUCCGGGGGCGGCGGGAGAGCCUGGGGCGGACUUUCCCUCACUUGCCGCGCAUGGUGCAACUCCUGGUGCCGGGGUCCCGGCCAGCCCGCCAGCAGCCUGCGAACCCCCCGCGCCGCCGCCGCCGCGCACGCCUCCUCCUCCCCCUCGGCGCACACAAGGAAGUCCCGGAGAGUGGGAAGGGGAGAGCGGAAAGUUUUGGGGCGGAAUGGCGGCCGCGGGCGCGCGGCGGCGGCGGGAGCGGCGCUGAGGGGAGCGGGCCGCGCCCGGAGCCCGCCGCCGCCGCCACUGCCGGGCGGGAAGGACGGGGGCGGGCGGCGGGGCGAGGAGGGCCGGUGGGGGGGCGAGCGGCCGCGCCCCCGCCCCCGGCAGCGUGCGGGGCUGCCCUGCCCGCCGGCCGCCCUGGGGGAACCCCCGCGCCGCGCUCCCACGCGGAGCGCCGCUCCCACGCCGCGCACACGCGGAGGAAACCUCCCCUCCCCCCACCCCCUCGGCUCCCCGCCGCCGUGACCGGGCGAGCCUCGGCCCCGGGCGCUGCAGCCGCGGCCGGGAGGGCCGAUGGAGGGCCGCGGCCCUAAGCCGAGGGAAAGGUGUAAACGCGGGCCGGGGUGCGUGCGUGCACGGGAACGGGCGCGGGGCCGCUCCGCUGCGGGCACACACCCGCUGCGCCCGCGGAAUGAUGCAACGCGGCCGCCGCGCCGCGCCGUGCGGCCACCCCUCCCCCCGCAGCCGCCGCCGCCGGCGUUGUUUCCG